GACCGCGCCCCCUGGGUCCCCUACCUGAGUGUCGUGGGCAUUCUGGCCAUCAUCGCCUCUUUCUGCAGUGGGCCAGGUGGCAUUCCGUUCAUCUUGACUGGUGAGUUCUUCCAGCAAUCUCAGCGGCCGGCUGCCUUCAUCAUCGCAGGCACCGUCAACUGGCUCUCCAACUUUGCUGUUGGGCUCCUCUUCCCAUUCAUUCAGAAAAGUCUGGACACCUACUGUUUCCUAGUCUUUGCUACAAUUUGUAUCACAGGUGCUAUCUACCUAUAUUUUGUGCUGCCUGAGACCAAAAACAGAACCUAUGCAGAAAUCAGCCAGGCAUUUUCCAAAAGGAACAAAGCAUACCCACCAGAAGAGAAAAUUGACUCAGCUGUCACUGAUG
Molecule: small RNA, 385 nt
Filed under: Pongo abelii (Sumatran orangutan)
Lineage: Eukaryota; Metazoa; Chordata; Mammalia; Primates; Hominidae
Description: processed transcript
Source: RNAcentral